RNA transcript from Nycticebus coucang (slow loris), 2213 nucleotides. It is a transcript of the gene named ezrin-like, with no coding region annotated. The transcript is spliced from 2 exons. The record is from RefSeq and is a predicted model, not a curated record. NCBI's taxonomy places the organism in Eukaryota, Metazoa, Chordata, Mammalia, Primates, Lorisidae.
CUCUUUUUCCUCCAAGUGAAGGAGGGAAUCCUCAGUGAUGAGAUUUACUGCCCCCCUGAGACCGCAGUGCUUCUGGGGUCCUAUGCCGUGCAGGCCAAAUUUGGGGAUUAUAACAAAGAGGUGCACAAAGCCGGGUACCUCAACUCCCAGCGGCUGAUCCCUCAAAGAGUUAUGGACCAGCACAAACUUACCAGGGACCAGUGGGAGGACCGGAUCCAGGUGUGGCACGUGGAGCACCGUGGGAUGCUCAAAGACAGUGCUAUGUUGGAGUAUCUCAAGAUUGCUCAGGACCUGGAAAUGUAUGGUAUCAACUAUUUCGAGAUCAAAAAUAAGAAAGGAACAGACCUCUGGCUUGGAGUUGAUCCCCUUGGACUAAACAUUUAGGAGAGGGAUGAUAAGUUGACCCCAAAAAUUGGCUUCCCUUGGAGUGAAAUCAGAAACAUCUCUUUCAAUGACAAAAACUUUGUCAUUAAACCCAUCCACAAAAAGGCACCUGACUUUGCGUUCUGUGCCCCGCGCCUGAGGAUCAACAAGCGCAUCCUGCAGCUGUGCGUGCGGAACCACCAGCUCUACAUGCGCCGGCGGAAGCCCGACACCAUCGAUGUGCAGCAGAUUAAGGCCCAGGCCUGCAAGGAGAAGCACCAGAAGCAGCUGGAGCUGCAACAGUUGGAAACUGAGAAGAAAAGGAGAGAAACUGUUGAGAGAGAGAAAGGACAGAAGAUGCGUGAGAAUGAGGAGCUCAUGCUCAGGCUGUAGGACUACGAGGAGAAAACCAGAAAGGCAGAGAGAGAACUCUCUGAGCAGAUUCAGAGAGCCUUGCAGCUGGAGGAAGAGAGGAAGCGGGCGCAGGAGGAGGCCGAGCGCCUGGAUGCUGACCGCAUAGCCACACUGCGGACCAAGGAGGAGCUGGAGAAACAGGCAGUGGAUCAGAUAAAGAGCCAGGAGCAGCUGGCUGCGGAGCUUGCAGAGUACGCUGCCAAGAUGGCCCUCCUGGAGGAGGCCAGGCGGCGCAAGGAAGAUGAGGUGGAAGAGUGGCAGCACAGGGCCAAAGAAGCCCAGGAGGACCUGGGGAAGGCCAAGGAGGAGCUGCACUGGCCAUGACCGCGCCUCCACCCCCCCACCCCUCCUGUACGAGCCGGUCACCUACCACAUGCCCGAGGGCCUGCAGGAGGAGGGCACAGAGCCCAUGAGCUACAGCGGGGAGCUGCUGUCCAGCGAGGGCAUCCUGGACGACUAUAACGAGGAGAAGCGCAUCACCGAGGCCGAGAAGAACGAGCGUGUGCAGCGGCAGCUGCUAAGCAACGAGCUGUCCCAGGCCAGAGAUGAGAACAAGAGGACCCACGACGACAUUAUCCACAACUAGAACAUGAGGCAGGGCCGGGACGAGUACAAGACGCUGAGGCAGAUCCGGCAGGGCAACACCAAGCAGCGGAUCGAUGAGUUUGAGGCCACGUAAUGGCCGGGACUGGGCAGAGGGGCACCCCGAGGGCCCUGCCAGCCUUGUUGUGCCUGUAUCUUUAGCACUCCAAAUCUAGGCACCCCCUUUCGCACCCUGGUCCCUUUACAAAGAGAGUGUUUAUCCUGGCGGAGAUAUUCUGGGCUGGGAACCAGUGGAAUCCUCUCUGGUCUAUUUUUUCCGAUUGUAUUAUAGUGCCAACCAGGCCUGAUUUUUAUGAUUGCUGUUGAAUCACCUCCCAUGUUGUGCUUGGCGUAGGACUGAGUGAAUUAAGGCAGGCCACCUGUAAGUGUGAGCAGCAAGCUCCACACUGGCAUGUGUGACAUGAGAUUUGGUACCAUUAAAGAAACCACAUCGUGGCUUAAAUCUGUGCCAUACUUUUUCUGUAUUUGAAAUGAGCUCAAAUCAACCUGUUUUUUGAUUUCUGUGAAGGAUCCAUCUUUGUAUAUUCCAUGUUUUGAGGGUUGAAAAUUAAGAUUGCGGCUGAAGCACUCGCACGUGUACGAUUAUUUCUUCCCUCCUGUCAGUCCGUGCAGCUGGUGGCAGGGCCGUGGCUCACUCGGCAUGGGCACUGUGGGAGGGCACGCUUGGAUCAACUUUUUAAGAUAUUUUUUUUCCUUUUUGGUUUUCUGCUUAUCAGUUAGAAGGACACAUUGUUGGACUUACAUGCCUAAUUAAUGAUAAGCUGUAGAAUGUAGUAUUUAUAAGUGACAAUAUGGGUUUGUAACAUUAGUUUUAAAAAGGGAAAGUUUUGUUC